GGUUGUAUAGUGUAGCGGUUAUCACCUUGGAUUCUGACUCCUUCCAGUAACCCCGGUUCGAUUCCGGGUACGACCU
This 76-nucleotide transfer RNA is filed under the name Yarrowia sp. C11. Its description in RNAcentral is "tRNA-Gln". It matches the Rfam family "tRNA". Rfam says of the family: Transfer RNA (tRNA) molecules are approximately 80 nucleotides in length. Their secondary structure includes four short double-helical elements and three loops (D, anti-codon, and T loops). Lineage: Eukaryota; Fungi; Ascomycota; Dipodascomycetes; Dipodascales. RNAcentral also lists the same sequence under 1 other name. The record is from RNAcentral.